GAGGUGCCAUUGAUACUGCGAGUCUUGAGUAUGGUUGAGGUAGGCGGAAUGUGCAGUGUAGCGGUGAAAUGCAUAGAGAUUGCACAGAACACCGAUUGCGGAGGCAGCUUACUAAGCCAAUACUGACGCUGAGGCACGAAAGCGUGGGGAGCGAACAGGAUUAGAUACCCUGGUAGUCCACGCCGUAAACGAUGUUCACUCGCUGUUUGCGAUAUACAGUAAGCGGCUUAGCGAAAGCAUUAAGUGAACCACCUGGGGAGUACGAUCGCAAGGUUGAAACUCAAAGGAAUUGACGGGGGCCCGCACAAGCGGAGGAACAUGUGGUUUAAUUCGAUGAUACGCGAGGAACCUUACCUGGGCUUAAAUGUAGGCUGCAUUUCCGGGAAACCG
Molecule: ribosomal RNA, 390 nt
Filed under: uncultured bacterium
Lineage: Bacteria
Description: bacterial SSU rRNA
Rfam family: Bacterial small subunit ribosomal RNA
Source: RNAcentral